ACCUGGGAACUGCAUUUGUGACUGCAUGGCUAGAGUCUGUCAGAGGGGGGUGGAAUUCCACGUGUAGCAGUGAAAUGCGUAGAGAUGUGGAAGAACACCGAUGGCGAAGGCAGCCCCCUGGGAUGAGACUGACGCUCAUGUACGAAAGCGUGGGGAGCAAACAGGAUUAGAUACCCUGGUAGUCCACGCCCUAAACGAUGUCAACUAGUUGUUGGGGAUUCAUUUCCUUAGUAACGUAGCUAACGCGUGAAGUUGACCGCCUGGGGAGUACGGUCGCAAGAUUAAAACUCAAAGGAAUUGACGGGGACCCGCACAAGCGGUGGAUGAUGUGGAUUAAUUCGAUGCAACGCGAAAAACCUUACCUACCCUUGACAUGGUCGGAAUCCCGCUGAGAGGUGGGAGUGCUCGAAAGAG
Molecule: ribosomal RNA, 414 nt
Filed under: uncultured bacterium
Lineage: Bacteria
Description: bacterial SSU rRNA
Rfam family: Bacterial small subunit ribosomal RNA
Source: RNAcentral